RNAcentral lists this ribosomal RNA (256 nucleotides) under uncultured bacterium. RNAcentral describes it as "partial 16S ribosomal RNA". It matches the Rfam family "Bacterial small subunit ribosomal RNA", at positions 524 to 788 of the family's 1533-position model. The record is from RNAcentral.
UACGAAGGGGGCUAGCGUUGUUCGGAAUCAUUGGGCGUAAAGAGCGCGUAGGCGGUCCGGUAAGUCGGUUGUGAAAACUGGGGCUCAACCCUCAGAGGCCGACCGAUACUGUCGGCUAGAGUCCGGAAGAGGCGAGUGGAAUUCCUGGUGUAGCGGUGAAAUGACGCAGAUAUCAGGAGGAACACCAAUGGCGAAGGCAGCUCGCUGGACGGUACUGACGCUGAGGCGCGAAGCGUGGAGCAACAGGAUAGAACCU